CUAACAUCUUGUAGAUGCCAGAGCAGGAGCAGCGCAGAGUGGAACCUAACAUGAAACACUCAUCAGUGGAGGACAGGCAAGAGGCUCAGGUCUGGAGAAGCGGAGCAGAAUGAAGAAUCCUAUUGAUUGCUGAAUCCCGAUUUUACAGCAGGGCGCCUGUGUCCUGGUGUCUCCUCUUGCGUUAGUACGUAUGGAUGUGGCAUCCUGUAGAAGCUGCACCAUCAUUGCAACCUAAAGGACUGCAGAGCAGUAACUCCGAGCAGACAGAGCGCAGAGAGACGUCUCGCUCCGGGAGAAAAUACCCAAGACAGAUCCGGCAAAGUUUACUGUUUUUCCCCCUGAAAGGAGAAUGGACCUGGUCUUGAUUAGCAUCGACAUCAGAGCUACUUUCAGGAGAAGCAGCUACACAGCUGCUGAACCACAGGUCCACUACAGUCCUACAUCUUCCAAUACGUCUCGUCGUCAAAGACUGACCACUGACCACUUCACCACUUUAAGUCAUGAGGUAAAACGUACCCAGUUCUUUCCUACCGUAAAAUCAGCUGCUAUUCCACACUGAAGAUGUGGCCUAGAAAAAUAGAGAUGGCAUGGCAGUACGUUACUUACUAGAGGAAGUGAGUGCAUAUAUCUGAUGCAGUGCCGCUCUCACAAAAAAAGAUCGGUGGCACCUUGUCACGGGACAGCAGGGAGGCACUGAAGAGGAGGUUAACAGGUUUUAAUAAUAUGAAGCGAAAAAACAAACAAAAAAAAGAGAAUCAAAUUAUGAAGCAAUUAUUCAAUUAUUCCGAGUUAUGGGUUUGGUUUAAUGAGAAGCACUUGUGUCAGUCGUGAAAUGUCUGUAAAUAUAUAUUUAUAUGUAUAUAUAUAUAGAUAUUUAUAUUAUAAAUCGAAUACAUAUCUAGUUGCUAUGCACACUCAGAAAUGACACUGUCAUCAUGGGUAAGAUAAUCCUAAAAACACAAAUAUACUCUUUCCCCUUCCCCCAACCAUGAUUUAAGACUUUUUGACAGAAACAUUAAAAAUAUUCUUGUUUUUUUUUGUUGUACCCCUUUCGAAAUUAAAGGUAGGACAUUAUGCAAAUAACUCACUCUACAUCUCUCAUUAGUGGAAUGAAAUGUGACUAAGUAUGUCUUUCCAAGCAAAUUCUUUUGUUACAAAAAUAUACUUCUUUCUUUUAAAAUAAUAUACAGAUUUUUUUUUCUUAUGAUGAAAGUUUUCACUAUCAAGCUAAACAGCAAAGCUGUUUUUUUUUCUUUUUAAUAGAAAGUAUCUAUUUCAUGAGAGAGAGAGCAAGACAUAGACCCUGUUCACACCUAGUCAUUUUAUGGUUCUUGAGAUGUAAUAGGAUUGGAUCUGAAUAAGGUUAAACCACAUUAAAAUGCACCCAAAGUGUGAACGCACCCAAGACGCAUUUGCUGUAUUUUUUGCGUUAUAAGGCGCACUUAAAAUCGUAAACUCCGCAGAAGUACAGCUUUAUAAAGGAGUUUUAGUGAAGUUUCUCCAGCACCAAGGCUGGAGCAGUAUUAGCAUUAGCCACUAAACGCAGUGCUAGGUGAGUAUAUCAGAUUGUUGUCUGUGUGUUUACCAUGUUAAAACAAGCUACGUGGGGCGAAACGCUAGCUGAUCGCACCCUGGGUCACAGGAACACUCAGGGUUCCUCUGUCAGGGAGCAUUUACUAGCACUAAGUGCUGAUGCUAACCGCGGCUAGCGCUGCUGCUAACAGCACUGUUGAAAAUAUUGGAAAUCUAAGCUUACUGUAAAUAAAGGAAGCGCUUUACUCA
This 1782-nucleotide long non-coding RNA is filed under the name Astyanax mexicanus (Mexican tetra). RNAcentral describes it as "lncRNA (ENSAMXG00005007025.1)". Lineage: Eukaryota; Metazoa; Chordata; Actinopteri; Characiformes; Acestrorhamphidae. The record is from RNAcentral.